Long non-coding RNA from Physeter macrocephalus (sperm whale), 12095 nucleotides. RefSeq lists it as uncharacterized. The transcript has 3 exons. The record is from RefSeq and is a predicted model, not a curated record. NCBI's taxonomy places the organism in Eukaryota, Metazoa, Chordata, Mammalia, Artiodactyla, Physeteridae.
CUGGCUCCUGCGUGAGGAGGAAGAGGUGGCCCGGCAGGCCCGCUGCCGCCCGCCGCUCUGCAGGAGCUUGAGCCUGUCCAGGCGCUGCGGCCCAGGCCUUAUUUGGCUUCCAGGCGCUGUAUUAACAAGAUGCCCGGAACCUCCUUCUCGGGUCCUCCCACACCUUGAAGGGUCCAGGGAACCCAAGGUCGUCUUCAACCCACAGCUCUCCCCCAGAUCUUCCAGGGAGGUCCCUCAUCAUUCAAGCCUCUGUUGUCACCUCCUCCCACAAGCUGUUCUCACCUUCCCUCUCAGGUGUCCCCAUCACGCCCCUUCUCAACAAUGGCACUUGCCACCAUCAGACGUCAUCCUGUCCUGUCCGCUCUACCUUCAGAGUAUACCUCGAAUCUCAGCCACCUCCUCUCCUCCGCUGUCCUCAUGGUCAAAACUACAUCCUCCUCCAAACUCAGCACCGUUGACAUUUGGGGCCGGACCUUUCUCUGCUGUGGAGCCGGCCGUCCUGGGCUGUGUGGCAGCUUCCCUGGCCUCUUCCCCCUCGAUUCCAGGAGCGUCCCCUCCCCAGCUGUGACAACCGAAAGUGCCUCCAGACAUUGCCCGACGUCCCCCCAGUGGAAAACCGCUGCUCUAGACUAUGGCAAAACCGGUCUCCUGGAGCCUAGAAAUGGAUCUGGUCCACCCGCAUGACUGCAGGGGUAGCGGCGGAGAGAACCCGCCAGGGAAGCCGGAGGAGGCCCCCAUCCAGGGCCUCGCGGCCUGAGCAUCCCCCCACAUGCCCCCUGCCCCACAGGCUCCCGGGGUUCUUGGGAAGCUGCGUGGAAACCCCUCUGUAGGGCCGGAAGCAGCCUCGGGCCCAACCACACCCAGCCGGGGAAGGCAGGCCGGGGUCUAAUUAUAGAAGGCAGGCUGUGAGAGGUCCUCUCUGGGAAGAGGAAGUGGCGCUCUGAUUAACCCCCGGGUUGGUUCACCCCACAUUGAGACAGUCCCCACGGGGAGAGGAAGUGUGGUGAAAUGAAUUCAGCCUCGGGGCCGGGGCAGCACGGACAAGCCAGGCGGCUCUGGCUCCUGGCCGCAGGGAUGGCGGGGAACCGGCUCUGUGGCCCAGGGGCCAGGUCCGCUGAGGAAGCCUUCAACUCUCUGGACCCUGGCUUUAAAAGAAAGGGGGCUGGACCAGAUUCGAUCUUCAAAGUGGGUCUCUUGUUUCAGGGCACGGGUUCCCAAGGGGGUUCCCAAGUCAGGAGCUGUCUGAUCCUCAGUGUCCCCAUCUGAAGAAUGGGGUUGACGGGAACCGCGCCUUUCGCAGAGCCUUUGGAGGAUGCGCUGAGGUGGUCUGUGCUGCCGGCCAGCCUGGGCCAGGGCCUGGCACAGGACGGGGGCUCGGUUAGGUGUUCCACGUUGUCAGAAAAUCAACACGAUUAGUGGGCUCCAGUCAAAAUGAAAAUGCGGGCCCCUCGUGCAAAAGUUACUGAGAAUUUCAAGACGGAGACAGCAGAGCAUUAAGCCUGGCGUGGGGCCCUUCUGAGCCCGGUGUGCCUGCCAGGGCUGCAGGCGCAUGAGCUGGGGCAGAUGCAGGGGUCGGGGAGGGGGUGGGGAACGGCUCCUUAAAAGGAUGGAUCCCUCUCCACCACUGUCACGAGGGGACCUCAACGUGUAGUUGAUUGGAACGCACAAAAUCAGAGCUCUGCACGCUGUAGGAGACUGUUCACGUGCGAGCUGUUUAAACGGUGCACACAGAGCGACACGGAAAAUUGACCGUCACCAUAAACGUGUAGGUAGAAACCUGUGCCUGAGGCUGCAGCUCUCACUCCCACUGAGGUUGGCUGUGGGGGGGAGGGUGAUGGGAGUUACAGCAAAGCUGAGCUGUACCUGUAACGUUUUAUUUCUUUAAAAGAAAAAGGAUUAGUGACAAAUGUGACAAAAUCUUGGUGUCUCAUUGUAUCAUGUUUAAUUCUGGGUAGUGGUAGUAGGGGCUUAUUAUUCUCUGAAUAUUUUCAGUUUUAAAAGGUAGAUUUCACCACUUUAAAAAGCUUGAAAGCAUUGGGUGAGGAAAGAGCUGCCUUUGGCUGAGGUCCUGGGAGUAAGGGGUCUGGGAGACACACAAGUGUUAAAUUGAGCGCCUACUACCUGCCUGGUCCGGGGCCGGGUUCUAGGGAAAUAAAAAGGAGCAUUUUCCUUCCAGGAACCCAGAGGUCAACACGGGGGGCCGGCCCGUCCUGGGUGGGGACCCACAUGAAGUGAUCCCUAACCCCUGCAUGGGGCUGCCACUUGGCUAUUUUCGCAGGCAAGCAGGAUCUGGGGCGUUGUUUCCCUCCUGCAGAAGGAUGCCAGGAGCCUCGCGGGAGUCAGCUGGCAGGCACCAAGGGCUGUGUGUUGGGGUGGCAGGGGCGGGGGGAAGGUGGAGCAGAGGGACAUCAAUAGGCAGGGUCAUGGGUGCAGGGGAGCACCCGGGGCUGCCCCAAACACCUGCUGAAACCCUUAGAUGAACGACGGGAGAGUCAGGAAUUGCCUGCAGCCUCUGCUGGCAAGCCUCAGGGUCUGCAGCCUCGGGCGUGGAGGGACCUCAGCUGGAACUAGAGCCUGCUCCGGGGUAUCAGCAGCCUCUUUGUCAGUAAUGGGCAGAGGACUAGACACCAGGCGCCCCCCAGCCCAGGGCUUUAUCCCGAAGGGGCCUCGGCUGGUGGCCCCCUCGGGUUCAGGAGCACACGCAGCUCCUCUGUCCCAGGGCUGCUCUCUGGUCAUUUCUGUCUCCUUUGUUUGUUUUACCUUUUUAAUUUUGAAAUAAUUUUAGGCUUAGAGAAAAGGUGCAGAGAUAGUCCCCACGUCCCCUUCACCUUGCUUCCCCCAAUAUUAAUCUCUUACAUAAUAGUACAAUGAUCCAAACUAAGAAACUCACUCUGAUGCAGUACCAUUAACUAAACUGUGGACUUUAUUCGCAUUUUCCCCCAGUGUCCUUUCUCUGCUCCGGGUCCUACAUUGAAUUUAGUCAUCUCGUCUCCUUCGUCUCCCGCAGGCCCAGGGAUGGUCCUUGCUCCUUCCUUGUCCUUCCUGACCUUGCUGGAUUUGCAGAGUAUCGGUCAGGUGUUUUGUAGAUGGUACUUCAAUUUGGGUUUCUCUGAUGUCCUCUCAUGUUUUCAAAUGAGACAUAAUUCACGUUCCAUAAAACGCAACCUCGUAAAGCGUACAAUUAUGUGGCUUUUCAUAUACACAGAGUUGUGCGACCGUCACCACGAUCUAAUUCCAGAACCUUCCCAUCACCCCAGAAGGAAGCCCAGGGCCCCCAUAUCCCUCUUUGUCCAACGCGCAGUACUUUCUCUUGUCCCCCUCCCGCUUGCCCCGGCUCCAUUUCUCUCCAGGACGCUGCUCCUGUUUUCUUUCGGUUUCUCUUUGUGUCUCUGUCUCUGAGUUGCUCUGUCUCUCUCUCACAUUCGUUUCUAUUUCUGUGUUUCUCUACAUCAGUCUCUCCCUGUCUCUCUCUCCAUCUGACUCUCUUCCUCUAUUUUCUCCCUUCUCAUUCUGUUUUGCUCUAUGUAGCGUGUGCAUCUUUCUUCCUCUUUCAUUCUAAAGGAGACACCGGCAAAACCCAAGAGGAAUGAUAAGGCAUCCACAGAGCUCUGGAGACAGACGGGGUGAGGAUAGGAAAUAUCUAAGGGCUGCAGCUAGACAGGGACCUCUCUGAGGAGGUGACGAAGCAGCCAGCCCUGGAAGAGCUGCUGGGAGAGGGCCAGGCAGGAGGGAAGCAGGAGCAAAGGCCCUGGGGCAGGAGAGAACUCCAGGGCCGAGCUAGGGAGAGGCAGGGGACAGAGACAGGGGCCUCCCUGUGCCCAGGCUCGCUUAGAGGGAGCCCUGAAUUCCUCCCCAGGUCAGGCCCCCAGGCUCUGGGGCAGGAGCCCCAGCCAGCCCGGGGCGAGGCUUGUGGAGAAUAAGUCAUGGCUGAACCUCUGAGAACUUUCCAGGACCAGGCCACCUGCUCAGCCCUGGGGACCCUGAGCUGGGUACAACCCACCUCUGCCUUGAAAGAACCUGCAGCAGAAAAGCACAACCCAGGCUCUGAAAGAGUCUGUGUGUUGAUUUAUUCCAGAAACACUGAUUCAGUGCCUGCUGUAUACCAGGACCACAAACAGGCAUGCGCAGCGCCCUGACCUCACGGGCUCAGAGUCUAGAAAGAGCAGCAGCCCACCUACUCACCCCGACCGCGCCGGGGAGAAAGGCUGAAGCUCAGAUGGCCAUUUAUUCAUCCAGCAGCUCUCGGGGCCCACUGCAUAUGGUGGACAAACACAGAGGACCCUCAAGCGGACGGCCCCUGUUCACAGCACAGUUUCUAGAGCAGAAUGGCAUGGAUUCAAGCCCCAGCUCGGCCGGCUAUUAGCUGCGCAGCCUUGGGCAAGUUGCUCACCCUCUCUGAGCCUCAGUCUCCUCCUCCGUAGAGUGGGCUGCUGUGCGAGCUACAGGCCAGAAUGUCACACGCUGAGCCCCCCUACCCUCCCCGCCCCACCUCCGACAUUCAGAGACAGGACAGGAGCUGAGUUUGUCAGCCAGAGUUGUUCUUCCCAGCUGGUGGGAGGGCUGGCCGGUCAGGAGGAUCCCAGGCCUGCUGGGGACCGGGGACCGGGCAUGUGCAGCAGCUGGAUAGUGGCUUGUGUCCUUAAGUCACCGAGGGCAGCACCAGGCAGGCUGGCCAGGGCCCAACAGCCUGACCCAGCCUCAUUUGUGAUGCAAAUGGCUGGCAGUGGCUUCGGGCCAGAGCACACGGUCCCCAGCCAGGGCCCCAAGCUUUUAGUCUGAGCAGAGCCGGGCGGGUGGGGGUGGGGGGGUUGGGAGGGAGGCAGUGGGGAGCCCCCCCAGACAGCCUCGAGGGACCUCUCUGGGUGGGGUAGCGGUGAGCAGGGACCCCAAGGUCAGGAGAUGCAUUCCUGGAGGCUGACUGGGGUGGAAUGGGGUGGAAGGGCUGGGCCACCCCCUGCUUGGCCAGUAGGGUGAGUGGGAAAGCCUUCGGCUGGCAGGGCUCCGUCCUGCAGAAGCCGGAGGUCCUCUUCGGGCUUUCUCCCGGGAUCCUGCGGAAACCAGGGCCCCGCAUGUCACACCCUGUCACUUCCAAGCUGGCCCCCACUGGAUCUCCAGCCCCUCCAGGGUCCCUGGCAAAGCUGCGGCCACACAAACGUUUUCCCCUUCUUCCCUGGCUCUUGGCCACACUUGGCUUUUUCACAAGCUGUUCCCUCUGCCUGGAAUGUCUUUCCCUUAGUCAAUGCCAGUCGUUUUUCGAUCUCUGGCCCUUACUCUGUACAUGUAACCGUAUACUCUUUUUCUUAAAGACAGUGCCCCAAAUUGUAUAAACUUCAGGCCCCAUGAAACCUGGGUCUGUCCCCAGUGGUAGGAAAACAUCCCCUGACACCGUCCUUCCUGGUCCCCGAAGAGAUGAGUAGGUCACAUCCCCCGUUAGGUCAUUCAUUCAUUCAACAAAUAUUUACUGAGAAGCUACCAUGUAUCUGGCACUUUUCUAGGCACCUCGGAUAGCGCAGUGAACAAGGCAGACAAGAAUGCCUGCCGUUAUGGACUGACAGUCCACCAGGGGUACAGGUAAUAGACAGAUGAAUAAGCAAUAAUAAGUGAUACAUAAAGUAAAAGUAGGUUUGAGGCAUGCUAAGAGCUACAGAGAAAAAUGAACAGGCAAGGGAGAGGGAGCACGGUGAGUAGGGGGCUAUGAGUUUGAAUGCAACAAGGUAAGAGGUGAGCCGUGUGGAUACCUGGAAGAUGAGUGGUCCAGGUAAAGGGAAGAGCAUGUGCAAAGGCCCUGAGGCAGAGGAGCACCUGGGAGGGCUUGGCACUUCACUGUAGUGUUUAUCAGACUGAAAUUAAAUAAUUAUUCCAGUGAUGACUUACGAAUUUUUUGUCUUCCUCACUAGGACUUUGUAUCUGGUAGUUGUUCAAUAAGUACAAUAAGUUCAAUAAGUACAAUAAGGACACAGAAUGUAUUUAUUUCUUUGGGAGGAGGGGGUUGGUGCUGGUGGAGUUGUAAUGAAGCCCCCACCCCAGGGGACUAGGUCGGCUCACAGGGUGGAGCUCUGCAGGCACCCGCAAGGCAGGGACCCGGGCCUGGCACCAGUGUCUGGGGAUGAGGGCACCAGGCAGCCUUUUCCAGGGGCGAGGGGGCAGCAGGCAUGGUGAGGACAAAGCAGGAAAUGAAAAACAGGAAGACCCCACGAUGACCUCGGAGCUUGGUUUGGGGCAUAUGUGAUCCCUCUUCAGAUGCCCCAGAAAGAACAGUGACACCAUUUCAGGGGCCAAGUUCUAGCCAGGCCACUGAGUUUGGGAAAUGAACUUUAAAAGCGUGGCCCUGAAUAGUUACCUCCUCUGGUGUGACCUCCCGGCAGCGCCGUGCGAGGGCUGAGAAAGAGCCUGCAGGUGAAAUCCCAGCACACAGCAGGUGUGCACGCACCGAACAACGGCAGGUGCACCAGCAACUCUGCUCAAGGUGAUUCGUUCUACCUCUGCGUGAAUGAGCAAAAGGCUGGAAACGACUUCCACCUCCGUCCCAGGGUGCGGGCAGUCGAGCACGCCCACUCACACGUGGAAUACUAGGCAGCCGACAACCAGGCGAGAGCAAGCUCCGUGUGGGCUCAGCGGGGAAUCUUCAAGACGUAUUUAAGGGAAAGGAGCAACGCGCCUCACAGAGCGAAUGGCGCGUGCUGACUUGGGAACAGACACACAGAAGCGUAAAAUGCAAUGUGUUGAAACUGGAGGCCCUGGAUGCCUGGAGGGAAGAGAACCGGGUGGGGGAUGGGAGGGACUUUCCCAUCCCACAAACCGCGCCCCCUCGCCCCACAAUGCCCAGUCAAUACACUGGUGAAUGGAAGCGGUGCAAUUAUCCUGAAUAAAAAUGCCACCGCUCUUAGGAGCAGGAACGUGACUACUGGCAUCUGGAGGUGGGAGAAACUACCAGGCAGGGGGCAAAGGGGGCGGGGAUGCUGGGCACACCCCCUCGGGCCGGACCUGUCUGUUCCCCUUUCUCACUAAGUCAACCACCCGAGGAACAAUAGUGCUUCCCCUCCUCCUAGAGGAAGGGCGGGUGGAGACAGGGCCAGGGCGGCAGGUGGAAACCUCAGUGAGGUGCCAAACGCUAUUCUGAGAGGCCGGCGGAAGCAGGGGCGGAAGUCGUGCUGGCGAUGGUCUCUGGCUCCGUCACUGCACAGGCGGAGGUGCUGGGGGAGGCGGGGGGGUGCCCCGGGGAGGGGAGGAAGAUGUCAGGGGCUGCUCCCACCCCCCCCCCAAAGCUGCUAGUCCAAAGCCAAGCCAGUUUCUGUUUUGUAGGAAGCGGGGGUAGGUUAAUGCAUUUCAUCCCCACUCAGUUCCCUCUCCACUCUGCCAGCCUCAACCGCCUUCCCCUGACCACACUCUUGCCCUCCUGGCCUCCCUGCAGUUCCUCAACCUGGCCCAGCGCACCCGACCUCAGGACGUUUGCACAAGCUGUGACCGCCUCUGGAAUGCUCUACCGUCUUGCUGCCUUCCAUGACUUUUCUCCAGUGACUUUAAAAAAAAAUAAAUGUAUUUAUUUAUUUAUUUCUGGCUGUGUUGGGUCUUCGUUGCAGUGCACAGGCUUCUCAUUGUGGUGGCUUCUCUUGUGGCAGAGCACGGGCUCUAGGCGCGCAGGCUUCAGUAGUUGUGGCACGUGGGCUCAGUAGUUGUGGCACACGGGCUUAGUUGCUCUGUGGCAUGUGGGAUCUUCCCGGGCCAGGGCUCGAACCCGUGUCCCUUGCAUUGGCAGGCAGAUUCUUAACCACUGCGCCAACACGGAAGCCCUCCAGUGACUUUUGCUGGAGCCACCUCUCACCUGGACUCUCCCGGUUCUUCUCCAUUACCUCACCUGCUUGCUUCCUUGACAAAUUUGUAAGCCAGUGAUUUUUUUUUUUGCUUAUGCCCCUGUCAGGGCAGUAGCCACACCCACUUUUUUUUUUUUACUGUUGCACCUCCAGUGCCUAGCAUAGAGAAGAAGCUCGGACAUUUGUAGAAGGAACAAAAUAAGAAUCUUUGGGGCACAAUGUCCUGUCACUUGGGGGAAAAUAUUCAAUGGUUCUGAGGCUAGUCAAAGGGAGAGCCAGAAUCUAACCGAGGUGGGGGAUUUUAGAGCAAAAUAUUAGACUGCCCUUCAAGAUAAAGGAGGUUGAUUUUGUGAUGGGCUUGGCUAAGGUUAGGGACCAGCGGGAAGGAGACACAUUUUCUUUCCUGUAGAAUAACCCAGAGGGUGGGAGCCAGGGGCCAUGGACUCUGAGCCUGAAACCAACAUAGGCUGAGAAAUAAAGAGGAUUUGGAUCCUUAUAACAGUGCUUGAGCUGCUAGAUCCAGCCAUUCCUGAAGCCAGAAAUUCAGCUGCACUAGCCAGUCAUGUCCAACUAAUUCUCCAGAAGGAGGGUGAAUCAUUCAAGAUUCUUUUCUUUGCAAAUGACAGAAAACCCAAGUCAGACUGCUGUGGUGGGCGGAAUAACGCCCCUCCCUCCAAGACAUUUGUGUCCUAAUCCUGGGAACUUGUGACUAUAUUAAGUUUGAAUAUAUUGUUACAUGGCAAAAGGGACUUUGCAGAUGUGAUUAAGGUUAUAGAUCUUAAAAGAGGGAGAGUAUCCUGGGUUAUCCAGGUGGGGUCAAUCUAAUCACAUAAGUCAUUAAAAGCAGAGAACUUUCUCUAGCAGGAGGCAGAGAGGUGCAGCAGAAGAGGAAGUUGGAGAAAUUUGAACACUAGGAGGGACUUGACCCACCGUGGCUGAAGGGAGUCAUGUGGAAAACACAAGAAGGAAUGUGGGCAGCCUCUAGAAGCAAAGACCUACCCCUGCUAUCAGCUAGCAGGAAAUGAGGACCACAGUCCCACAGCCACAAGGAACUGACUUCAGCCAGCAAACUGAAUGAGCCUGGAAGAGGAUUCUUCCCCAGAGCCCCCAGUAAGGAUCACAGCUCUGCAGGUACCUUGACUUCUGCCACCCCAAGCUGAAGAAAAAUCUGGGUCAUGCUGUAUCUGGAGUUCUGACCCACAAAAGUAGGACAUAAUCAUCUAUUAUGUGUUGUUUUAAGCCACUAAGUUUGUGACGAUUUGAUAGAAAACUAAUACACUGGUUUAAUGAAAAAAUAGAAUUGACAGGCUCUCUCAGCCUGACUUCAGGAAUGGCUGGAUCCAGCAGUUUAAACAGUGUCCUCGGGAUUUAAUUUCUCUGCUGCCUCCUAAGCUGGUUCAUGCUCAGGCUCCAUGGGUCACCCUGGCAGCUCCAGGCACCCAUCCCCCAGGUUAAAUCCACAGGAAAGGGGGCCUGCCUCUCCCAGCUGUCCCAUCAUAAGUCUCACUGAACUCUCAUUGCCUGUAGCUGGACCAUGUGCCUACUCCCGAGUCAGUCACUAAGGCCAGUGGCACGCAACAUUCUUUUUGGCCAGGUCUGGGUCACAUGCCCAUCUCAACGGGGUUAGGGGUGGAUCUGGAGCCACCUGAGACUCGGGGACAGAUGUAGGGAACGGCUAGUUCCCAGGGGGACAUUCGGGCACAGUUAGAGGGCAAAGGGCCACAGAAGCCACCACACAAGGGGGCUUGAGAUCGCACAGAGAAUUUGCCUGUUUUACUUUCUGGAGAUGAGCACCAUGCAGGGUGGCCUGGGCCGAGGAGCCCCAAGCCGCCCCAGCGAAUGUGACUCAGAACCUCUGGACAACUCCCACCCCCAGGGCCCGGUUUCCAAACUCACGGGCUAAACAACAGGGAAGCCUUGCGUUCCUCAGAAGCAUGCUCAACUGGGACACAGAGUAAACAAACCGAUAUUUAUACCAUGGCCCCACGGGGUGGCCACUUGGCUCUGAGGCAAAUAUGGUCAAAACUGAAUCGUGCAGCCCUCAGAAGAGACCGAGGCUAUCCCCAGAGGAGCCCGCGGGAGGCGUCCACAUCCCACACUCCCGCGGGCAUCCUUGAUCCUUCCCAGAAGACUUGGGUGGGGAGGGAGGUGCUCUUCUCAUCCCUGCCUCACACCCAGACCAGGCGAUCCCUCCUUUCCCCAGGACUGGACUCUGCUGGCCCUUCCCAGGUCAGGUCCUGGCUGGGUCCAGAGCCCACAGGCAGGGUACCCACUCCCCCAUGCAUCCUCUCCUGAAGAUGCACUCCCCACUGCCUCAGAUCGCCUCUCCUCGACUUAGAAGGUCAUUUAAUUUAAAUUAUUUAGAAUUCAUAUGGCCAGCACGUAUUAUAUAAGCCCCCUUCUAGGUGCCCGGCAUUGGGUGCAGAGGCUGGGGACCAGCCUGGAUGUCUCUGGCCUGCUCCUGCCCCUCCCAGCUUACAGUCCAGGAUGGGAGACAGGUAUUAAAUGAGCAAAUAAAAUGCAUGGAGACGUACAAACCCUGAUAAGUUCUCCAGAGGCGGCAGGCAAGCAGAGUGCAGAGUGGGAAGAUGGCAAGGAGUCGGCCAAGGAUGGGCGCUGGUGAACAUCUGCGGGAAGGGCACAGGCAGCGGAACAGCUCGUGCAAAGGCCCUGUGAUCACCAGCUGAUUUCCUCCCCAGCUCCUGCUGCUUCCAUAACGAGCUUAGUUAACUGUUUCCUUGUCUAUUGCCCACUUCUCCCAGUAAACUGAAAGCCCUGUGAGGGCGGGGAUUUGUCUGCUUUGUGCCCUGCUGUCUCCACAGGGCCUAGAAGAGAGUCUGUGCACAGUAGGCGCGGAUGAAAGUUAGCAGAGCUCACGGAACGCAGAAACGACAAGGGGGCCGUGAGCUAUGGAGGUCAGUGGACAAGCACGUUGAACAGUAGGGAGGUCUCAUUUGAAAAUAUUUAUGACUAUGUCACUGCCUUGCUACAGAGAAAUCUGGAGAAACAAACACAAAUGUUAUCUGGGAUUGGAGGGAAUAUUCCUUCGUACUUUACAGAACUCUGUAGCCAUCCAAUGUUUUACGCUGAGAUUGUAUUUCUUUUCACUCCUUUUAUUUCUUAUAACCACAGAAGCAAUGCGUGAAUGUGCCACCACAUUCAAACAAAUGCGGGGCCUGUCAGAAGCUAGGUGCUCAGUAAGUGCAGGAUUCUCUGUCCUUCCUUCCCCACGCGGAGGAACAUGGCGGUCCCACACCCCCUGUGACCUUGGAGACUCUUAUUAAACCGCAGCUCCAGACUCAGGAUUAUGGCCUUUUUCACAAGCCCUUCCCUCAUCCAGGGCCCAAGGGAGCCAAGCAGACUCUCGCGGUGCUCACCUCUCCCUGGGUCAGGAGAGCUCGUGUAUGCCAAAGGGACAGAGCCCAGGUCCACACCGCACAGGGGUGGGCAGUCCCGGGCGUGCUGAGCACUGGCCAGCAGGGAUGGUGGGAGGCCUCAGGUCAGGCAGGAGUGAGGUUGUCAGGAGAACGCAGCCCAGAGGACCCGGUCAGCUCCAAGUAGGAAGAGGGAGGAGCCAGAGGCCGCCCAGACUCAUUCCUAUGAUGCUCGGAGGCCAGGUCCAGGCUCUUGUCCCAGAUGAUGGCGAGAGAAAGAGAGACCACUGCCCCCAAAGAAAAAUCAGAGAGAACAAGGAUGGGGGGCAGGGUGGAGGCAAGAGCUUCGACAAGAAGGUCUGGGAAGGCAUCUAGCAGGUGGGGAGCGGGGAUGACAUCUGAGCUGAGACGUGGUGACUUCUGAACUCAGGCUGAGGGACAAAAAGGAGCCGGCACAGGACACCCGGCGGGAGAGUGGCUCUUGAGAAAGGCAUCGGAGAGAUGGCAGGGCCAGUUCAGCCAUGGCAAGGAACUGAGAUUUUCUUCCAGGCCAGUGGGGAGCCACAGGGGCUUCUAGGCCAGGGAACAGCAUGCUCUGAGUUACCUUUUUAGAAGAUCGAGUGGGUCCCCAUAGGCAAGAGGCGGGUGGAGGCAAGGACAGCUGUGGACCCCACCCAGCUCUGGCUCAUCAGAGACACACAGAAGAGCCAUAUAAGCAAGCCGGCGGGCACCAAAAUGACCCCACCCUGUUAGUAUUUGGGGUAUGUGCACACAGAUGUAACAUCAACCAAAUGGCAAACUUCAUUCUCCAAUUUUUCUUGCUCAGUGGUAAAUCGUACAGAACUGUGUUAAGAAAAAAGUAAAACUCUCCUGUAGUCCUAGUACCAUUAACACCUAGUCUAUUUCCUUC